CAAGUCGAACGCGAAAGCCCCUUCGGGGGCAAGUAGAGUGGCGCACGGGUGAGUAACACGUAGGUAAUCUACCUUCGGAUGGGGAAUAACAACCGGAAACGGUUGCUAAUACCGCAUAAUGCAGCGGCACCUAAUGGUGACAGUUGUUAAAGCGGGGGAUCGCAAGACCUCGCGUCUGAAGAGGAGCCUGCGGCGGAUUAGCUAGUUGGUAGGGUAACGGCCUACCAAGGCGACGAUCCGUAGCCGGCCUGAGAGGGCGGUCGGCCACACUGACACUGACAUACGGGUCAGACUCCUACGGGAGGCAGCAGUCGGGAAUUUUGGGCAAUGGGCGAAAGCCUGACCCAGCAACGCCGCGUGAAGGAUGAAAUCCCUCGGGAUGUAAACUUCGCAAGAACGGGAAGAAUAAGUCUGCGCGAACAUCGCAGGCGAUGACGGUACCGUUUGUAAGCUCCGGCUAACUCCGUGCCAGCAGCCGCGGUAAUACGGGGGGAGCAAGCGUUGUUCGGAUUUACUGGGCGUAAAGGGCGCGUAGGCGGCCACUGCAAGUCAAUUGUGAAAUCUCCGGGCUUAACUCGGAAAGGUCAACUGAUACUGCAGGGCUAGAGUGCGGAAGGGGCAACUGGAAUUCUCGGUGUAGCGGUGAAAUGCGUAGAUAUCGAGAGGAACACCUGCGGCGAAGGCGGGUUGCUGGGCCGACACUGACGCUGAGUGCGCGAAAGCUAGGGGAGCGAACGGGAUUAGAUACCCCGGUAGUCCUAGCCUUAAACGAUGAAUGCUUGGUGUCUGGGGUUUUAUA
Molecule: ribosomal RNA, 799 nt
Filed under: uncultured Pseudomonadota bacterium
Lineage: Bacteria; Pseudomonadati; Pseudomonadota
Description: bacterial SSU rRNA
Rfam family: Bacterial small subunit ribosomal RNA
Source: RNAcentral